RNAcentral lists this ribosomal RNA (1046 nucleotides) under uncultured fungus. RNAcentral describes it as "eukaryotic LSU rRNA". The stretch from base 482 to 1046 matches the Rfam family "Eukaryotic large subunit ribosomal RNA", at positions 1 to 578 of the family's 3401-position model. The record is from RNAcentral. Lineage: Eukaryota; Fungi.
GGGAUCAUUACCGAGUUCCAACUCUCACACCCCGAGAACGUACCCGUACGGUUGCUUCGGCGGGCGGCCCCUGGGAGGGGCCGCAGCCCGCGAGGGCGCCCGCCGCAGGCCCUACCAGACCAGUUUUACAGCGAGUCCCUCUGAGAAAACCACAAAUAGUCAAAACUUUCAACAACGGAUCUCUUGGUUCUGGCAUCGAUGAAGAACGCAGCGAAAUGCGAUAAGUAAUGUGAAUUGCAGACUUCAGUGAAUCAUCGAAUCUUUGAACGCACAUUGCGCCCGCCAGUAUUCUGGCGGGCAUGCCUGUUCGAGCGUCAUUUCAACCCUCGCGCCCGGCGCGGUGUUGGGGCCCCCACGGCCGCCGUGGGCCCCGGAAACCAGUGGCGAGCCUCCUGGACCCGCAGCGUAGUAACAUCACCUAGCUCGCGGCGCCCCGGCGGUGCCUGCCGUAAAACCGCAGCCCUGCUGCAACUCCACAGGUUGACCUCGGAUCAGGUAGGAAUACCCGCUGAACUUAAGCAUAUCAAUAAGCGGAGGAAAAGAAACCAGCAGGGAUUGCCCUAGUAACGGCGAGUGAAGCGGCAACAGCCCAAAUUUGAAAUCUGGCCUCGGCCCGAGUUGUAAUUUGCAGAGGAUGCUUCGGGUGAGGCCCCUGCCGAGUCCCCUGGAACGGGGCGCCAUAGAGGGUGAGAGCCCCGUAUGGCAGGCGGCCGAGCCUGUGUGAAGCUCCUUCGACGAGUCGAGUAGUUUGGGAAUGCCGCUCUAAGCGGGAGGUAAAUUCCUUCUAAAGCUAAAUACCGGCCAGAGACCGAUAGCGCACAAGUAGAGUGAUCGAAAGAUGAAAAGCACUUUGAAAAGAGAGUCAAAUAGCACGUGAAAUUGUUGAAAGGGAAGCGCUUGUGACCAGACUCGGGGCGGGCCGAUCAUCCGGGGUUCUCCCCGGUGCACUCGGCCCGUCGCGGGCCAGCGUCGGUUUCCGCGGGGGGACAAAAGCGGUGGGAACGUAGCUCCCUUCGGGGAGUGUUAUAGCCCGCCGCAGAAUACCU